This 68-nucleotide transfer RNA is filed under the name Hydropsyche angustipennis. Its description in RNAcentral is "tRNA-Leu". Lineage: Eukaryota; Metazoa; Arthropoda; Insecta; Trichoptera; Hydropsychidae. RNAcentral also lists the same sequence under 1 other name. The record is from RNAcentral.
UCUAAUAUGACAGAAUUAAUGUAAUGAAUUUAAGCUUCAUCAAUAAAGAUUUUUAUCUUUUUUUAGAA